This 484-nucleotide ribosomal RNA is filed under the name uncultured bacterium. RNAcentral's name for it is "partial 16S ribosomal RNA". It matches the Rfam family "Bacterial small subunit ribosomal RNA", at positions 29 to 507 of the family's 1533-position model. The record is from RNAcentral.
AUUGAACGCUGGCGGCAUGCUUUACACAUGCCAGUCGAACGGCAGCGCGGGCUUCGGCCUGGCGGCGAGUGGCGAACGGGUGAGUAAUACAUCGGAACGUGCCCAGUAGUGGGGGAUAGCUCGGCGAAAGCCGGAUUAAUACCGCAUACGACCUGAGGGUGAAAGCGGGGGAUCUUCGGACCUCGCGCUAUUGGAGCGGCCGAUGGCAGAUUAGCUAGUUGGUGGGGUAAAGGCCUACCAAGGCGACGAUCUGUAGCUGGUCUGAGAGGACGACCAGCCACACUGGGACUGAGACACGGCCCAGACUCCUACGGGAGGCAGCAGUGGGGCAUUUUGGACAAUGGGCGAAAGCCUGAUCCAGCAAUGCCGCGUGUGUGAUGAAGGCCUUCGGGUUGUAAAGCACUUUUGGCGGGAACGAAAAGGACUGUGCCAAUACCACGGUUCGAUGACGGUACCCGCAGAAUAAGCACCGGCUAACUACGUG